Molecule: ribosomal RNA, 484 nt
Filed under: uncultured bacterium
Lineage: Bacteria
Description: partial 16S ribosomal RNA
Rfam family: Bacterial small subunit ribosomal RNA
Source: RNAcentral
AUUGAACGCUGGCGGCAUGCUUUACACAUGCAAGUCGAACGGCAGCGCGGGCUUCGGCCUGGCGGCGAGUGGCGAACGGGUGAGUAAUGCAUCGGAACGUGCCCAGUCGUGGGGGAUAGCCCGGCGAAAGCCGGAUUAAUACCGCAUACGACCUGAGGGUGAAAGCGGGGGACCGAAAGGCCUCGCGCUAUUGGAGCGGCCGAUGUCGGUUUCGCUAGUUGGUGGGGUAAAGGCUUACCAAGGCGACGAUCCGUAGCUGGUCUGAGAGGACGACCCGCCACACUGGGACUGAGACACGGCCCAGACUCCUACGGGAGGCAGCAGUGGGGAAUUUUGGACAAUGGGGGCGACCCUGAUACAGCCAUGCCGCGUGCGGGAAGAAGGCCUUCGGGUUGUAAACCGCUUUUGUUCGGGAAGAAAUCCUCUGGGCUAAUACCCCGGGAGGAUGACGGUACCGGAAGAAUAAGCACCGGCUAACUACGUG